This is a long non-coding RNA of Triticum dicoccoides, 874 nucleotides long. RefSeq lists it as uncharacterized. The transcript has 3 exons. The record is from RefSeq and is a predicted model, not a curated record. NCBI's taxonomy places the organism in Eukaryota, Viridiplantae, Streptophyta, Magnoliopsida, Poales, Poaceae.
UUUCAGUAAAAAGAGGGCUCAGACAUGGCGACAAGAAUGAAGGUGGAGGGAAAGGAGUGGAGAGAAAGUAUUCUGGAGGUUGAUUUGAAUCCCCGGGUAUGUGGUUAUGCAUGAGCUGUGGAAGCAAAGGUGUGUGUCGGCUGGUUAUGCAUGAGCUGUGGAAGCAAAGGUGUGUGUCGGCUGGAGCUGAUUUACGGGGCUGUCAUUUGGAUGGUACCAAACUGUAAUAAUACAGACUCCCACUCAAAAUUUCACUGCACCAAAGGCUCUCGUCAGGAUGGCAAACCUAGGGAGUUCAGGCACCAUGAAACAUAACUUCCUUUGCCAUCGGAGAGAAAGAAGACGGUAGGCGCGCUCAGGAGAUGACGCAGCAACAACCGUCGAGCGGAGGUUGUGUUUGGAGGCGACCAGCAGAGGCUGCAGCUCCCACAGCUCGCGUGCGAACGAUGUGGCCGGACGACGAUUGAAGCGGCGUUUCUGUUUUGGCGGCGUGCUUUCGCGUGUGGAUGGAGCUCGUACGCCAGGAAGAACUGGCGUCUUGAUGGAGCUCGUACGCCAGGAAGAACUGGCGUUUUCGUUGGCGGGUCGAAGAAGUUUGAUUUUUGGUCGAUGGACCUCGUCCUCGUUCGUGGGUUGCGGAGCUGUUUUUUUGUUGACUGGGCGCGAUCGUGGGGUUCCAUGGACUUAUCGUUCGUGUGUUGAACUGUGGAUCUCGUACGUGGGCUGAGUUGUUGUAUUUUUUUUUGCGGGCGCUGAGUUGGUGUUUUUUCGUACGUGGGCUAUGUUGGUGGGCUGCUGCGUGCGUGUGGGAGUUCGAAGGGAGGGGGAUCGAACGAGGUCGAACCAUCACGACGUUCGAUCCCCCUUUAAUAGU